Molecule: non-coding RNA, 2559 nt
Organism: Ictidomys tridecemlineatus (thirteen-lined ground squirrel)
Lineage: Eukaryota; Metazoa; Chordata; Mammalia; Rodentia; Sciuridae
Source: RefSeq, a predicted model, not a curated record
CCUGCCCUGGCGCCCAGGAGCUGGGCGUGGCCUCCUUUCUUAAAGGCAUUUCUGGGUGUUAUGAUUGGAUCCGAUUUGCUUCUGGAAUCUGGAUCUCCCUGCUGCCUGCCAGUCUAUGUGACAGGCAAGUUACCCGAGACACAGUGCACGAGGCCAGUAAAUGACCCCACAGUGGCUCUAAGCAUCCAUGUGUCAGGGUCACACGCAUUUCCUUGAAAUCAGAAGCUAGAGAUGCCAAGGCCUGGUGAAGAAGACUCAGGCGAGGAGGCUGAGGUCGCCCCUGGAGGCUGCUCAGGUGUCUCGGCACAGGCGAGUGUGGAAGCCGCAGUGCACCGUCCAGGAGACCGGCUGUCGCACUGAACAAGGAUUCUCAGUGUGGACGCGUCGGCCGCGUCGGAAGAGGCUGCUGAGGACUUCUGUGGCUCAGUGGGGUCCAUGCCUGCCUUCCAAGCUUCCAAGGACAGCUGACCCUUAUCAAAGGCUGAUGUAGUGGGUGGCUCUAAGUCUAGGCCAGUGCUCACUGACCACCUGGAAAUCCAGGGCCUGAGGGACAGCACUGGAGCCACCGUGUCUGGUUCUGGGAAUGGAGCCUCGGGCCUGGAUGGCAGCCUGAUUCCACCAGGGAAACCCGGUCCCCAACAGCUCUGGUGGAGAGGGACACGGGGCCCGUGUUGUGUCCAGGCCUGCUGGCCCAGCACCCCUGUGCACCCGGGGACUGGGAGUCAUUCUGACUCCACAUCUUCUUGUUUAAGAAGCGUGUUCUGUGGGGCUGUGAGUGCCCUUGAUGGUGCCUCCUCUGAUCCGGGCAGUUGAAAACCUGGAAGGGUUCCGUUCCGGAUGCCGGUAAGAACAUUCGUGGUCAGGGGAGGGGGGCAAGAUCCCUACACUAACGGGAAGAAGUUCAUCCCGACCCUCACGGGGACUUUGGGGGGCUCAGGACGGCGGGGGAGAAGGAACUGCGCAGGCGAUGCACGCGGCAAGAGGCCCAGACUGAGAAGUGGAGCCUGAGGACUGGCUGGGCCAGCACCUUGGUUACACAGAACCUUGCAAAGGCAAGGGUCAGGCAUACCAAGCUCUCGAUCCACAGAAAGUGCGAGGUAAGGAAUGUUGAGCUUUGAGCCACCGAGUUAGGCAGGACCUAUGGCUAGGUAUACAGCUGGAAUACACUGAGUUAGAUGUGGCCCUGGAGUCAGCUCUGAUCCGUACGUAGAGUAUGAGCAGAGCCAGGUAGGGGUCCUAAGAGGGACCCAGCCAGGUGCUCUCCCCCUCGUCACAGCUGGACACGGUGUAACCAGCAUGGGUACUGUGGAGGAGGUGACGUCCUAGGUCAUGGCAGGGAAACCAGAUGGAAGGAACUGGGCACCUGCCUUAGUCCAAUCCAUUGCUAUAUCUGCAUACUCCAGACGGGGUAGUUUAUAAGAGGAGAGGGUUAUUCAGCCCUGGUUCUGGAGCCUGGGAGCCCAAGAGCGUGGUGCUGUGGUGCUGCAGCAUAGUGUGAUGGAGGGCACCGUGUGGCAAGACAGCAGGUGUGCCGGGGAGAGCUGCUUCCUAACAAAGCCACACCUGUAGGGACUCUGUUGUCCAUUACCCACAAGUGGAUUAACCCACUCAGGAAGGCAGAGCCCUCAAGCCCACUCACCUCCCAGAGGUCCUACCUCUCAUUAUUGGGGACCAUGUGUAAGUAGCCUGGCCAUCUGUGUGUCCCCAGAACAUUCACAUUGGACUGUUAACAGGUGAGAGAAGUAAUCAUGUAAAUCAUUGACUGGAAUGGGUGUUGGGGCUUUUUGUUACAGCAGCUAGCCUUACUAAUUCCCGGAAGAAAUAAAACACACAAUUCAAAAAGAAAAUAAAAACCAAUCUACUAGAAAAAAGGGCAAAAGACAAAUGAGUGCUCUUCACAAGAAAAUAAACAUAAUUGACUUCUAGAAGAUGAACAGUUGCCACAUGUGAUUCUUAGGCAAGUGGUGUCUGUCUUCUCUGAGACGCACUUUUCACCUGACUUGAAUGAUCAUUUAAAAUGCUGACGAAUCCCAAGUUUGACGUUGGUGUAAGGGAAGUUUCCUCUUAGAUGCUCCUCUGUUGGUAGGAAUGCAAUCUGUGUAACUUUCUGGAACACACACACACACGCACACACACUCACACACAAAACAGGUAGAAUACUAAAAUACAUACCUGCUAUAUAUAAACGUAUUGCAGUGUCUACACUCUGUUUGCUCACGUGCAAGUAUAACGUGGCAUCACAUGUUACUGAGUAUAUGUGUGACCAUUUUUUUUUUUUUCCUGGAAGCAAAUUACAAGGCACUUUUAGCCAGACGGUAGAAGGACUGGGGCUGAGGUAAGGGCUCUUCUCUGUCCAUUUCAUUUCUCUCUUAACUAUCUGAAUUUCACGACCGUGAAUUUUUAUUUAACAAAAAGCAGAUGGAUUACCUGGUGGUGAUUGGCAUGGCUCUACCUGCUGAGUAGAGGACCUCGCUGGCACCCAAGGGAUGGCACCCUAAGGCUGUUCCCACGUGUGUGCACACCUGUAUGUGGGCCUGUGCACCUGCACACUCAUGCUUC